Molecule: transfer RNA, 67 nt
Filed under: Dipterophagus daci
Lineage: Eukaryota; Metazoa; Arthropoda; Insecta; Strepsiptera; Halictophagidae
Description: tRNA-Ser
Source: RNAcentral
AGUUAAUGAACUUGAAUAAGUAAAUGUUUUGAAAACAUAAAAUAUUAGUAAAAUCUUUUAUUAACUA